GUUGUAUGGUUAAGUGACUAAGCGUACACGGUGGAUGCCUGGGCAGUCAGAGGCGAUGAAGGACGUACUAACUUGCGAUAAGCGCAGAUAAGGCAGUAAGAGCCGUUUGAGUCUGCGAUUUCCGAAUGGGGAAACCCAACUGCAUAAGCAGUUACUGUUAACUGAAUACAUAGGUUAACAGAGCAAACCGGGGGAACUGAAACAUCUAAGUACCCCGAGGAGAAGAAAUCAACCGAGAU
This 239-nucleotide ribosomal RNA is filed under the name Vibrio cholerae. Its description in RNAcentral is "partial 23S ribosomal RNA". It matches the Rfam family "Bacterial large subunit ribosomal RNA", at positions 1 to 235 of the family's 2925-position model. The record is from RNAcentral. Lineage: Bacteria; Pseudomonadati; Pseudomonadota; Gammaproteobacteria; Vibrionales; Vibrionaceae.